GUGGCGUUGGCGGUUAUCCCCACUACUGCAGUCUCUGGACUGCUAGUAUACCCUAGGAGGUAUUCCCUGGAAACUCCCCUUGUACACUUUAUUGCCACCGUCCUGAACAGUGCUCGUCUUUUUGGCGACUCAGGUAUGACACUGCUACAAUCUUUACACAACACUACUCUAAUCUAAACCCUCCCCCCCCCUUUGUUUUCACUUUUUACAUUUUGAUAUUAUCUUCCACUAAUCCUUGGGAGAACCUCUUUUCCCCCUCUCUAUAUGACAAUUAUUGUCCAUCUACCUGUAAUUCUUGUCAUUACUAGGCUACCAUUAUUAUUUAAUUUAACAAGACACCAUUUUAUUUCACUCACUAUAUUACCAAUCACCAAGUUAGGCACUUCUUAUUUUAACCCCCUCCUUAUUUUUUACUUUUCUAUAAUUGUAUUACCUUAUUCACUUCAUUUUCCAGAUGGAAAUCUCCCCCACCGUGAUUCCUAAUAUUUUCACAUUUCCUGGGGCUACUCCCAGUGUUAUGCCCUUUCCUAGUGCUAGUUCCAUCUCUAAGGUCUGGGGAUCGCCGCCUCAGGUUCCGGUGCUGAUCGAUUUUCGGCCUGCCACUAAUAUCCAGAUCCAUGACCAGACUCCACUAUGACCUGCAAACAUAUCCUGUGCAUCUGCUCCUGAAGAGUAGCGCUACAGCUACGAAACGCGUCGAGCUAAAUAGAUGCUUUUCCCUGCCAAUUUUUCAUCUUCAUCACCAUUACCAUGGUUUACUGGAACCUGCCAAUCUACAAUGCAUAAUGGAAAUAUGUUGCAAACUAGUCUGAUGUGGUUUUUAUGUUAUGAUUGUGGCUCUAGGCCAGCAGGCCAUCUUUGUGUCAUCAUGCUAUUCUGUUCUUUAUUAUGUACCAUGUUAUGGAAUAAAUGGUUUUAUUACCUUA
Molecule: long non-coding RNA, 926 nt
Organism: Rana temporaria (common frog)
Lineage: Eukaryota; Metazoa; Chordata; Amphibia; Anura; Ranidae
Exons: 2
Source: RefSeq, a predicted model, not a curated record